CUAAUUCUUCUAUGGAUCGCUUCUAUUUAAAUUCAAGUUAUGAUUUCGACGGAGUAGGAACAAGAAGAACAAAGAGCAUACACAAAUUAUUUAUAUAAGGCAGCGAACAAGAAGAACAAAGAGCACACACAAAUUAUUUAUAUAAGGCAGCGUACAAGAUGAACAAUUUAAGGAAAAUGUGGCAUAUAUGAUAUUAAAUAAUAUUUCUGUAUUCAGAUUCUCUUCUGUAGGUUUCAUUAAAGUGCAUUUCUUGUAUGUUACACAGUAUUAUGAUAGAAUGUAAGAAUAAAUACUGCAAUAAUAAACUGUUUGUUUCUCUGUCAA
This is a long non-coding RNA of Bombus pascuorum, 324 nucleotides long. RefSeq lists it as uncharacterized. NCBI's taxonomy places the organism in Eukaryota, Metazoa, Arthropoda, Insecta, Hymenoptera, Apidae. The record is from RefSeq and is a predicted model, not a curated record. The transcript is spliced from 2 exons.